Molecule: non-coding RNA, 621 nt
Organism: Phalacrocorax carbo (great cormorant)
Lineage: Eukaryota; Metazoa; Chordata; Aves; Suliformes; Phalacrocoracidae
Source: RefSeq, a predicted model, not a curated record
GGGCGGGCGGGCGGGCGGGCAGGCAGGCAGGUCCCCGCCGGGUGAUGAGGGGCUGCGGCUGGAAGGUGGUGACGGCUCUGUCGUGUGUUGGCGUGCCCGGGGGCCGUGGGGAAAAGGCCUCUGCCCGCUCCUCGGGCGGACAGGAGGGCCGAGGGUAGGACGGAGGCGAGCUGGGAGCGGCUCGGCCGCGUUGAGACCUCCCCACGGUGCACUCUUCGCUCUUUGCAAAUAACCAUCCCAAUGCUGCAGCUGGCCUGAAAGGACACACUCAGGCAGAGAUUUAAAGAAGGAAAGCCACCCAGAAGAGCAGGCUGCAUCGACUGGCAUUUUCCAUAGAACAGCUACACCAUUACAGCUGUUAAGUACGAUGUGCUUGGCGGAGCUGUGAUCAUAAGGUCCCCAGAGCAGGCUGCUGAGGUCUUCGCGGGACCCUGCGGCACAGCCCAGACCCGCUCCUGCGGCGGCAGCAGCGCAGGACCAUGAGCCACCUCAUCACCCCGGGCUGGUCUCCAGCAACCUGCCGGGCUGGCUGGAAGGGCACGAGGAAGCAGAAUGUAGUUAAAUCAUGUGUGGUAAUUUGUCUUGCUAGUAGCAAUUAAAAUUAAUAAUAAAUAAAAAUUU